AUACAAAAUAAUCUCAAAAUGCCUAGUAGAACGACUAAAACGGCAUCUCGAUGCGAUUGUGUCUGAUCCUCAAGCCGCCUUCAUACCGGGAAGAUUGGUCAAUGAUAA
RNAcentral lists this small RNA (108 nucleotides) under Arabidopsis thaliana (thale cress). RNAcentral describes it as "ATSL040920". Lineage: Eukaryota; Viridiplantae; Streptophyta; Magnoliopsida; Brassicales; Brassicaceae. The record is from RNAcentral.